This 497-nucleotide ribosomal RNA is filed under the name uncultured bacterium. Its description in RNAcentral is "partial 16S ribosomal RNA". It matches the Rfam family "Bacterial small subunit ribosomal RNA", at positions 899 to 1397 of the family's 1533-position model. The record is from RNAcentral.
ACUCAAAUGAAUUGACGGGGGCCCGCACAAGCGGCGGAGCAUGUUGCUUAAUUCGACGCAACGCGAAGAACCUUACCAAGGUUUGACAUCACCGGAAAACUCGCAGAGAUGCGGGGUCCUUUUGGGCCGGUGACAGGUGGUGCAUGGCUGUCGUCAGCUCGUGUCGUGAGAUGUUGGGUUAAGUCCCGCAACGAGCGCAACCCUCGUUCCAUGUUGCCAGCACGUAAUGGUGGGGACUCAUGGGAGACUGCCGGGGUCAACUCGGAGGAAGGUGGGGAUGACGUCAAGUCAUCAUGCCCCUUAUGUCUUGGGCUGCAAACAUGCUACAAUGGCCGGUACAAAGGGCUGCGAAACCGCGAGGUGGAGCGAAUCCCGGAAAGCCGGUCUCAGUUCGGAUUGGGGUCUGCAACUCGACCCCAUGAAGUCGGAGUCGCUAGUAAUCGCAGAUCAGCAACGCUGCGGUGAAUACGUUCCCGGGCCUUGUACACACCGCCCGU